RNAcentral lists this long non-coding RNA (16972 nucleotides) under Equus caballus (horse). RNAcentral describes it as "lncRNA (ENSECAG00000050651.1)". Lineage: Eukaryota; Metazoa; Chordata; Mammalia; Perissodactyla; Equidae. The record is from RNAcentral.
CUUACCAGCGGAGGCUCAUCCCCCACUCCCCGCCUCCUCGUCUGCUUUGCUCUUUCUCUGCCCACCUGGCCUAUUUCUGGAGUCACCGUUUGAGAGCCCUGAUAACAGUUAAACUUGCCCGCUUUGGGUGUAGCUAUUGACGGUCUGCGUCUUUUCUCCACGUGAAUUGUAAACCCGGCCCUGGUCUGCCAGUGCCUGGACAAGGUCACCAUGUUUCCUACUGAGGGAUGUCUACGCCAGAGGGACGCGGCUGCCGAGGAGCUGGACGGAGCGGGUCCGCCCUGGACACGCGCGGCUGGGCAGCUCCCAGGGUGAUAUCUGUGGCUAUGCAAGAACUCAGGAGCGCAUCACCACAUACCCCAUCGGAGGAAUUUUGAAGGAUGCAUCUUCCUUAUCUGAAAGGAAUUUGAAGAAGAGAGGAAAUCGAGACCUCCUUCCUCUGGCAUCGAGGUGAGAGGGACCUCUCCUAGGUCCCAAGGUUACAGGGCCCCUCAGAUCACAGACACGCCAAAAAUAGAUUUAUUGAAGGGCCUUUAGGUAUCCCGAGGUCUAGACAGCCCUAGCUGUCAGGAGUCAGUGCCCAUGGCUGCACAGUGCAAACCCUCACUGUAAACAGCCAUUCCCAGCUGGGCCUCGUCCAGGGAAACGCUUCUCCGGAGCUCUCGCCGUGCACGGAGGGUGUGAGGAACAUACAGACUUAGAUCAGGAGAGGACGUUGAAUUAACUCAUCAAAUCCUUCCUCUCAGAUAAUAUGGACGCAACAAUUCUUCCAUAUCGAGGUAUCAUUUCCCACUAGUACUGAGGAUCUAUUUUUCUUGCUUCUCUUCCUGUUCCAAUUCCUGGCUCUGGGGGUACUAGAAAGUUAGCAUGCUGUUUGCACUAGAAAAUUAGCACGCUGUUGGCAACAGUUGCACAUUGCGGCUAAGGAAUAUUUUGCAGCAUUAACAACACAAGUUACUUUUUAAUUUGCACGUAUGUAGAUUAGACAGAAGAUGAAUGAAGCAUGAUAUACAUUUUGAAAUCAUUGAUACUAGAUGGAUACUGAAUACUAAAACUGAAAAUAGUUUUAUUUUUGUAACAAGAUGGAGUGAGAUUUAUUAAAUGUUUAAAAUCACAUCAAAAUUCAGCCUUCUAAAAAGUUUCAUUCAAAAAUUUCAUUAACUAUAAAUUAUGUUUUAUUUUUGAUUUAAUGGAUAAUAUAAAUAUAUUUGAAGAAUUUUUUGAAAAUGUUUUAAUUUUUGAUGAAACUAUAUUCAAUUUUUAUAUUUGUGAUUAACUUACAUUUUUUUUUAGUCUCUUAGGUAAUUCUUUUUCUUUUUGAUGAGAAAGAUUGGCCCUGAGCUAACAUCUGUGUCAAUCUUCCUCUAUUUUGUGUGUGGGAUGCUGCCACAGCAUGGUUUGAUGAGCAGCAUGUAAGUCUGCCCCAGGGAUCUGAACCCAAGAACCCUGGGCCGCCAAAGCAGAGCACAUGAACUUAACCACUAUGCCACCAGGCUGGCCCCGUAGGUAAUUUUAUUAUAAGAACAUAAUUAGUAAUUUUGCUUAAAUGAAGGCAAGAAAAUAGAUUUUAUGGACUAAACAUACAAUAACUUAUGAAAAUGUGUGUUUUUAUUUUAUAAACAUUACUGGUUCAUCAAAAGAACAAUCUGACAUAUGCAAUAAUUGGAUUCAGUUGCUUUUUAUAGUUUAUGAACUUUAAGUCAUUCAGAAACCAUAACUUUACAUAUACUUUUUGAUUUUACCAUUUUACAGGUAGGAUGUAUUUCCCACAUUGGAACACGCAGCAUGUUUUAUGAAGUUUAACUUGACAUAACUUUCAUAUGCUUAUACAUGAGGCAUGAGGACACCCACUUGUCCUCCUGUGCUGGUGUCCCACAGAUGGUCCGCUGGCCCUGGUAGUGGACAGUGAAGUCAGUGACAUCCACAUAGAUGAUGAUAGACUCUCUGGGAGUGUGGUAUUAGUGCACUAAGAACUCUUAAAUCUUGAGGGGAAAGCUUCAAGGAAAGUUCUAAUAAGAGCCUAGAACUAUAACAGUUAACUUAAGCAAGCCCAGGAGUUGGUCACUGGGAAAGAAGGGGAGAGUGAAGCUAUUCUAGAAAGGGUCUCACGGGAGUUGAAGGAGAAGCAGGGAGUAACAUUUGGUAUCUUAUUUUCAAACAUGUAGAGAAACUUGCAUCUGAUUAUGAAAGAUGAGGAUUGAAAUAUUUAUAUAAUGCAACAUAGAGUUUAUACACACAGAGAGAAGCAGAGGGAGUUUUGAAAAGUACACCUGUGAAGAAGAAGCAUGAUUCAUGAAACUGUCUGCCACAGAGCAAUCUAAAAGCUAAGUAUACACAGAAAAAAUUAUAAAUGCAAGGAGCGCGUGACAAAAACACAAUUGUCGCAACAGAGUUCAAUAUAUCGGACUCAAAAUUAGCUCCAACGGCCCCAAAGAGGUAACAAUGUAGGUCGUAUUGACUGAUCAAGAAACCCAAAUAUGGGACAAUGCCUUUGUUACUAUGUUCAUGAAACUUUGAUAAAAACUGAACAUUCACUUGGCCAUAAGGAAAAUCGUAAUGAAAGUUUCAACGCAUAUGUGACAGGCCACAGUUCUGAUCAUAUUCAAUAAGGUUAGAAAUAAAUAUUUAAAAAGUGACCCAAAAAAUCUCCAGUACUUGGAAAUAAACCAACAUCUUCCUGGAUGACCUUCAUAUCAAAGAAGAAAUCAAAAGCAAAGUUAAAAGCUACCUAUAUAGCAAAUAGUAAAAGAAUGAGAUUCUUCAUUAAUAUAAGAUUCUAGAAGGGAGGCAAAGUAGUUCCAAGUUUGUACCACCUCCUGGAUCCUGGCAGAAAUAGACACAUCCACUCUCUAGUGGAAUGUAUACCCACUUUAGGGCUGAAGGGUUUCUGCUUAUUAACACAAAUAGGAGGUUGCAAUAAAAAAUCACCAGGCUCACGAGGGAACAAGGCACCAUAAUGGACAUUAAAUGGAAGCCACGUAACAGUUAGACCUCCCAGAACUUCGGAUUUUGAAGCGUAUGGAAUACUCAAAAAAAUAAAAGAAAAAAAAUCACAAAGAUGAUCAGGCAACAGAAAACUUCUUUGUAGUAAAAUAGAAUGCUGUAAAUGAAUAAAUAUUUGUUAACAUAAAGUAUAACACAGAGGAAAAGCGAACCUGCAAAUUAGACACAAUUGAGAAAUUAGUGAACUAAAAAAAAUCAGAAUUAUCCAGAACACAGCACAAUGAGACAAAGACGUGAAAUAUAUAAAAAACAAGGUAAGAUCUAUGGAACACAGGAUGAUAUGUUUCAACAUUCCUAAUGAGAGCUCAGAGGAAGAGAAUAAAGUAGAGAAGAGGAAGAGGAGCUAUAUCAGAGAAUUACUCGGGAUAAACAGGGAGAAAUGACAUCCAGACGCACCACAGUGAAAUGGACGACUACCAAAAGCAAAGAGCCAGAGAGAAAAGAGCAAUCGCCACAAGGCAGCAACAGUUAGACCAAGAGCGGACUUUCACAGCAACAACAGGGCCAGGAGCCAGGUGAACACUGUCUGUAGAUGGUGAGAGGAAAUAACUGUCAGCCUGGGACCACCAAACUCUCUUUUAAGAAUGAACGUGAAAUGAAUAUAUUUUCACAUAACAAAAACUGAGCUUUAUCAUCAAUAGACCUUUAUGAAAACACCAUUAUAAAAUAUGUACUCUGGGAAGAAGGAAAAUGGUCCCAGAGGGAAUGUCUGGGAUGGAAGGAAAAAGGGUGAAUACAGAACGUGAGGAAUAUAGAUACACAUCUAAAAUAAACACUGCAUGCUAACUUGACGGGUUGAAAUGCAAACCUCCAGGACUGGAGAGGGACGGUGGUAAACUGGGAGGUGAGUGGGAAGGAGGAGAUUUCAAGAUCCUUGCGUUACUUAGGAAGGGAAUAAAGUACUGUUAAUUUUAGACCUUCAGUUAAAUACGCAUUUGGUGAACCACUGGAAACAUAAAGUGAAACAAAUGGAAAUAGAACGUGCAAUGUCCUAACCACAGGCAGAAAAAGGCAACAAAAAGGGGGAAAAUCAAAUCCUAAAAAAAGCAGGACGCAUAGAAAUCAAAAUGCCAAAGGAUAGAAACAAGUCCAACUAUAUAUGAUAAGGAGUAUAAUAAAACCAUGGUAGCCACUUAGAAUGCUAUAUUGGAUUUAAAAAUCCAGAUAUAAAUUAUGUUACAAAGGACACACAUGUUCUUACACUGUCAGAGUUUCCUGAGAUGCAGAUACAAGGAAGGGGUCAGACGUGUAAGAGAUUUCUUGGGGGAAAUGCCCGUGAAAGAUGUAGAGAGAAGGAGAGAGGCUUCAGACAGGGUGGUGGUCUGACACUGUGAAGGGGGAGGGGGAUAAAGGAAUUGGCUGGGAAGCGCCUCAGACAACAGGAUAGUUCUAAGACCUCGUCAGCCAGAACAAUGGAGGGUCCACGGAAAGCCUGUCCUCAGAGAGAUCCCACGUGGGCUUCAACGGCCAUUCUCCACACCCCUGCUGUUCUCAGUCCUCGGCUGGGAGCACCCCAGGGGAAGCACGUCCCCAGUGGGAAGAUUGUGGUAGAUCUGCAAAUGUGGCGACCAGAGAUUGUCAGUCAACUCCCUCCCCGCAGCAGGUUCUCUUCGAGGAAGAUUCAAGCAUCGCGUGUCGCCACACACAGAAAUGCUGAAACUAAGAUGACGGAGAAAUAUGUACAAAGCUAAUACUAACAACAAAGAUAAAGGAAAAGUGGCUGUAUUAAAAAUAGAAAAAACAGACUUUAGGAGAAAAGACUAUUUUUAUGAAAGUUAACCGAUCUCAUUAGUUUCUGGUUUACCCUUUCUACAUUUCUCUUUGCAGACGCAUGUAGAUUUUUAUUUCCCUUAUGCAAAAGUUAGCAUACUAUAUACCCCAUUAUUAGGUUAAUAUACUGUAUUUUGCUAUCUUACGAAGAACUAUUAUGCUUUUGCGCCUUGCCUUUUUCACUUCAUAAUGUGCCAUGGAAAUCACUCCUUCUCAGUUCACAGAGAUGUUCCUUGCCAUUUUUUACACCCACAUAGUGCUCAGUUUUGUGGCUCCACCAUAGCUUAUUCAACACACAUCUGUAAAAAGGAACAGGAAAGACAAACCGGAGAGUGAGAUGGUUACCUGUGUGAGCAGGUGGGAAAAGGGUGGAAGAUAUGGGCGGGGGAGGGAGUAAUAUUUCUCUGAGUGUGCCUUUUCAUGUAAUUUUGACUUUUGGAACACACUCAAAAAUACUAUCUAAUCAUGUCAACAAGGAUGUGAAAAAAACCUUCAAAAUGGAAUAUAAACAGAAACCUAUGAACCUGACUCGAUUUCAAAUUAAUAAAAAAACCACACUGAGGGGAGAAAUAAAUAACCAAGUAAAGUUUGAAUACAGCACUUGACUUAUAUCUUUGUGCUGAAGAUAAAAAGAAUUGCAAACAAAUAUGAAUUCAGAUUAGUUUGUUUUUCACGGUAGUACGGGUUAGAAAUUUGAAACAUUCCGAGUAAAAUGGAGAUUGAACGCACGAGUAAAUAUAUGGAGGAAAUGGGGGCCAGUUUUCUCACUUUGAAUAAGAGCUGCAAAUAUGGAGAGCGGGAGGAUGAGCCAUCUGGAGCUGGACGGCAUUGGAGGUAUUGGCGUGAGCUCACGGAUUCUAGGACAAAUGAUUAUUAGAUGAUAGAAAGAGACAAACAGAUAUACUUGUGUGUAGCUCCUACCCCUAACCACCCCAGGUUUAUCUGCAGAAAAGAACUAGAAAUAAAGACGUCCCAAUAGCAAUGAGCAUGCUAAAUUUUGGUUACCAAAUGCCAUUCCCCAUUAACAGGAAGUUGAGCUCCUUGGAAUAAUAUCCAAGUCUAGGACUGUGAUAGGAAAAGCAAAAGAUGAGCCAGAAAAAGCAGAACAUCAUAAAAAAAAUAAAUAACGGGGAAUGUCAAAAGAAUGCAGGACCCAGCUUGAAGGGAAGGGCUUCCCAGAGUGGGUCCUUACUCUGUUCUCUGGGAGAAACUCUGUCAGUUUUCUCUGUGGAUCCUGGCUCCAUUCUCUGAAAAAAUUUUUUUUCCUAAUAUUCUCCAUAGCCCAUCUCAAGUGGGCAUUAAGAAGUGUCCAAGGGGUCUACAGGGUUUUCACUGCUUAUAUUUUGCCUUUGAAAGUUUGGGGUCCCAAGGGUUUUAAGACUUGAAUACUCAUUGGAUCAUUAUAGUGAUUUCUUUGGCAGUGCAGAUGCCUCAGAAAUACAGUGGACUUCUGAUCUGUUUGUUCCCGCUCAGUCCCAUGUAUCAGGAACCACGUGUGAAGUCCGUGCCAGAGGUAGGUUCACAUGACUGCUUGGUCUGUCUCCUUUCCCCAGGUCUCGACCUUGCAGCUUACUGGUGUCUGCUUCGGAGGCGUUGGAAGGCACAGGCAUGGGUGGACUUCAGUAGACUUAUGCUGAUUUUUACCAUGAGAUGGAAUCACUUUAUCUAACUGAGGAACCUCACAGGCCUCUGUUUCUCAAAGAUUUUAUUUUUCAGGUUUUUACUUAGAUUCUAGAGCAGUUUGCUUUUCCAUCCUUGUGAUUUCCAACUGUGAUUUCCAAUCAGCCAACUUUUGCGUAAGGUCGUUUUUGGUUUGUUUUGUAAUACCUUGCUGAAAGCAGCAAGCAAAGCUAACACACAUUAAUGCUCUUUCCAACCCCUUCUCCUAAAGAUGCAGGCUCCGUAGGCAUGUGGUCUGUCCAAGUUAUGACAGGUGGCAAUUUUACCAAAUAUUUUGCCUUUCUGUAGUACUCGUUUCCACUUUUUCCAGCCUGUGUUAUUUAUUUCCUCGCUGCCUAAACUUUGUCAUCUAAGCCAAGGUCACUUGUUUUUGUUUUAGUGUCACUCUGUGUUAAGGUGCCACUCUCUGUGUUAAUCAGGAUGGCACUACCUGCUGUAACCCAUGACCCCUGCCCUGCCAGCUCUGCCUGCCUAACCUGGUGGUCCGUGAGUGCCCCCCUCAGUGGGCAGUUUUCCUUGACCUGGUAACUCAGGGCCCUGGACUCCUGGCAUCAUGCCUCUGCAGCCUUGCUGUCCUCACCUCCAACCAGUGGAUGGGAAUGAGACCAUGAGACCUAGAAGUGACACACGUCACCUCAGCUCCCGUUGCGCUUCUGAGAAGUAGUCACACAACCCCUGGCCGAGCUCCCUGCUCCGGGAGAGAAGCCCAGACUGUGUGUGGAGAGCAGGCUCCCUCCCCCACUGUUCACAGUGAGUCUGCAGCACCCUUUGGUUCCACGUAAGGCCGUCAGCUGCCCGAAGGCUGACUCGAGUGUCUGCUUUCACUCCCAACCUUUUGUCUGUGUAGUGAAGUCAAAUCCCUGAUGUAAAAAUCGACGUUUAAGUCUCAGACUUUCUUGUGUUAGACUUCAUCAUGACAGUGGCAUCUCCAUUAAGAUGGUAAUAGCUUAAGGAACAAUUUAUGGACUAAAACUUUGUAAUGGAAAGUAGAAAUCAUGCAAUUGAUGUUUAGAUGCGCUCUUUAGGAUUCCCUCUCUACUUUGUUGUAUUGUUCUGCUGUGCCUCUCCAGAACAAUUUGUUCCCUGUUAUCUCAAGGUUAAGAGAAUCGUGCUCACAUCCCUCCCACAUUGCUCAGGGAGGCAGCAAAUAGCGAGCAGGCGUGAUGUGGGUGGAACCAGGUUCAACAAAACAUAUGUCGGGAUCCUGAUCCUAGUACCUCAGAAUCUGACCUUAUUUGGAAAUAGGGAUAUUCAUACGUGGUUAGUUAAGAUGAGGUAAUGAGGGCAGGCCCUAAUCGAUAUGAUUGGAGUCCUUCUAAGAAGAGGGGACGUGCUGUGAAGACACACACAGGAGAAUGGCCACGUGAUGACGGACGCAGAGACUGGGGAUGCAGCUGCAGGUCAGGGAAUGCUGAGAAGCCGGGAGGGGGCAAGGAGGGUUCCACCCAAAGUCUCAGCGGGAAAAGGGUCCUGCCAACACUUGAUUUUGGACGUCCAGCCUCUAGAACUGUGGGAGAAUAAAUGUCUGUCUUUGUAGGCCCCCAGUUAUGAUAUUCUGUUCAGGCAGCCCUGGGAAGCUAAGACCAGGUGCUAGGUUUGGACUGAGCAGAUCUGGGGUUAAAUACCCUUUCUCUCACUUCCGUCUGUGUGGUCCUGGGCAGGAUGCUUUACCUCUCAGAGCCUAUUCCCUCAACUCUAAAAUGGGAGAGUAUAACGUUUACCUUUCAGGGCUGUUGGGAGGAUUUUUAACGUCCUGACGCACUGUAAAUGCUGGGCUGGGGAAAAUCGUGGAGGUUGUUUGUUGGCGUAUUGAGUGGCGUAAGCGUUGGCUAUUCUUCCAGAUGCAAGUGCUGCAGCUGUAAACUCAAGAAAGAAUUGUUUGCACGAUGUGUAUCUACACACGCAGGCAUCUCUGUAUGCUAACAUUCAGACAGUAACUCCAUGCACACAUGAAAGGGUCUAGUUAGCUUUGCCUUGGGGCAGGCAAACUCUUCUGUGAGAAAGGGUCAAGAAGGACAUAGUGGUGCAGUUGAUUCAUUAAUUCAAGAAAUACCUGCUGAGCACUGAGCUUGUCUCGGCACUGUGCCGAGCCCGGGUGCUGAAGCAGAGAAUGGGUAAGGCUCUCUUGCCGACAAGUGGUGGGCAGGGUCACUUGAUGAGUCUUUUGAGGGCAGUGCCGUGGGACAGCUCAGGAAUUCGGAGCCAGGGCGUCCAUACCAGCCUCGGAGCCAGGAAGGGCUGGAGAAGAGGCCCCUGACCUGAGCCCCCAGGUGUGAGUACUAAUUAUUCAGGUGAAUGUGGCUGUUUGGGGGCACAGGAGCUCCCAGCAGAGGGAGCAAACAGAAAGGGCUCCACAGUGGGAGGUAGCACCUACGAGGGUUCUCUGGUCAUAUCUGUAUGUUCUUAUGUAUUUGGGGAGAUCAUUCCCCUGGAUUUGGAAACUUUAAUUAGUCUGAGGCAGCUGGCUGUUCCUUUACAAUCUUGCCCUCUAUUCUGGUCUUCAAUUUGCUCCUAAAAAUGCUUUUGCUACAAUUUUUCAGAUGAAAAGUCACCCUUCGGGAUAAAAUAAAAUGCGCAGACAGCCCUUUGGCCUUUGCUCUGUUCUUGGCUAACAGGUGCUGUCUGUCCCAAGCGGUGGGCUUAUCCCUCCCUUGUUUCUUUUGUUUUCCAAAUAUAGCUUGUGAAAGUCAUGCCUUUGUUCUGUAGGAUUUUUUGUAAACCUAGGUCCAUGGUGCGCCCCAAUUUUCUGAGAGCUGCUGUGACAGAUUUGUUCUUCUCGCAUUUGUGCCUGCUCAUCCCCUCCCUCUGUUGUGAUGUCUUGUAUGAAGAUGUCGUUUCAAACAGGAAUCCAUCAGCAAGGUCCCCCAGGAUGACCCCAGUGCUCUCUUUAAAUGCCCCCCACCAUCUUCAUUUUAUUCUUCAUUUAGACUUGAGAUUCAAAAUUUCACUUAUUUUAGAGCUUGACAUGUCCCUGAGCCAUGUCUCCUUUAUGGUCUCUUGCCAUAUGGUUUCGAAACUCAUCUUCCUAAAAUCUAAGGAACAGGCCUAAUAGUUCCCAGAGUUCUCUUGAUUGAUUGUUGUAGCCACCAAGAUGUCCUAGAAAUGUAGACAUUGGGAGAAAUUCCUCAGCGCGUGCAACAGGAUAUUGAAUACAGGUUUCCUGUUGUCUUGGAGUGUCACAGAGGUCCCAAAGGCUGCAAACAAUGGGUGACAAAUUCUCCCACAUUCCAAAGGAAGGGCCAGCACCUGUGCUGAACCUGAAACGAAUGUGGUCCAAAGUGAGCUCCCUGCACCCUGCGCAAGGCUGUAUGAGACGAGCUGGAAACGUCAUUGAGAUGUUGAAGCAGCUGGUGGGGAGGCUCUGCUUGGUGAGAGGGUCAGCGUGCUGGGAGUUCCCACCAACCUUGCCACGAGGAACAAAGGGAGAGGCGAGCUUUCCCCGCCUCAGCCCAUUGACAGUGGCUGCAAAAAACCAAACCAAAACAAAACAAAGCAGCCUGGAGAGCCUGGCAUGUGAUCUGUAGCCAGUUGCUCUUUUGAGCCAAGGAUGGGGCAGUGUCGAGGAUGGUCCCACGUCCAGAUGCUGAUGAGCCUGACAUGGAUCACGUGGGAGGGAAUGGAUGGUUUGGAGCAAGGGCUCUCUCAAGACACUGCUGGUCUGUGCCAGGUAACCUGAACAAAGUGGGGAUCACCAGCAACCCGGGGCUUGGAGAGAGCUUUCAGACCUACCAGAGGAGGAGUUGUAGCCCACAUCAAGGAAACUGGAGGCAAGAGAUCACCAGCAAUGCAAGCUCUAAAGAACCCACAAAAUUACCCCGUGGAGAAAAAAUCAGUGUUUGCUGUUGCCACAUCCAGAGAGUACUAAUGAUGGAUUUCAGCUGAACCAAUCAAGUGAGAAAGUUUUGCCCCAUAUCUCCUCUCCUUCCUCCAAGUCCAGCCCUGAAGGAACUGAGUGCAGACAGUGACUAGGGGCUGAAAAGUAAAGAACAAGCUGGAUAGACAGAGAAGCAGCAGCCAGGUAUGGUGGAGACAGCUGGCAGUCCACCAUGGCUUGUGCUCCCCUCCAUGACUACGUCAUUCAAGAGAGUGACUACUCACCAUGGGGUUACGGUUUCCAGAGGCAAUGCCCUGUGGAUAGUGAUGGGGGCACAUGACUGAGUUCUGCCCAGCGGGAUGUGGGUGAAGGUGAUAGAUGUUACUGGCCCACAUUAACCUCCCAGAAAAUCUUCCAUGUUCUCUCUUUUGCCUCUUCUGGCAGCUAGAUGUUGAUACCCAGGAUAUAGAAAACCCUAUAAAUACCCUACCCAGGUGCCCUUAGCCCUUAAUAUUUAAGUGCACACUAACCUAUAUUCCAGCUGCCUGUGCCUGACUCUCUUUGCCUGAAGGCUUUUUUCAGCCACUGGAGCCUUCUUUGCCCAUAUAUAUGGCAGGUUGGAAAUGCCAGGGCAUUAGCACCUCCUCAAUAUGUGAGCAAUCCUAAGCCAACGGCUGUGUGGAGUCCGUGGAGAAAUCCCCCAGCCCCCUUCUCCCUGGGUGAGGUAACUCUGGAGCGCACGGUCUAUACCGUUUCCCAGCAGGACUAGGUUCUGGUGGCCCUUGGUGAUAAAUUGUGUAACUAUUAUUGUCUUCUUUCCUUUCCCCACCUCACUUCCCUGAUCUUUAGUGAUUGGCUGUGACUGCCUCCCAAAUAAAAACUACCUUUAUUCAAAACUUGUUUCAGGAUCUGCUUCUGGGGAAACCCAAUCUAAGACCAGGGCAACUUUGGAAUCCACAUUAUUGAAGACAGCUGAGCCUCUGACAUCUUGGAUCCUUGAACAACGAGGUGGAGGAGAUCCUCCUCCCCCACCAACACCAUAUUGCCCCAAGCCCACUACAGCUGAUUCCAUUUUUUACGAGCAAAAACUAAUUUCCAUUGUGUUAAGCCACUGACAUUUCGGGAUUUAUCUGUUACAGGACCUCAGCUAACACGCUCUGUUUGCCUCACUUUUCUUUGGCAGGUUCCCAAACAUAAAGCAGAUCCAGACCCGGGAAAGGGAAAAGCUUUACACUGGAAGAGAGUUUGAAAUUUUCAUGCUACUCUGGGUGGAUUUUUUUUCUAUUGUGUUGAAAAUGAAAUUUAAGAUUUAUAAUCUGAGAGUGACCCACAUUUCAUCUGGGGGUGGGGAAGAACGAGUUGAGAGAAUAGGUAAAAAAUAAAUUAAAUUGCUUUCCGCCUGCAUCCUACUAAGUUCAGCUCUUUCAAUAAACUGGUUAUAAGUGAUGUCUGUUUCUCUGAUUCAGUGGAAGCAGCUAUCCUGACAGCUCAGUGUGAGCUAACAAAACAAUAGAAAAAGUGUUUUUGCUGGUAAAUUAAGCAUUGCCAUGUUUAAUUUUAUUAGUUUUCCACUUGACCAUGCAUUGAAAGAUACACCUAUAUGAAUGAACAUUACUCAUUAUUAUCUGUUAUAAUAGCUGACCAUCUUAUUUUAUUUAUAUUGAGGAGAAAGAAAUAUUAGUUAUGAACUUCGAGUUUGGAAAUUUUCGUGAAAAAUUCUAAGUCCCCUCCCCCUCCCCCCUACUACCCCAAGUCUAAUUCCUAGAUGCUGUGUUCCUUUCUAGCUCCUUCGGGCUGAAAGCUUAUGUUGAAACAAGUGCUUUGUGUCAACUUCCCUUCAGCUUCUGGGUAGUCUCUUGUUUCACAGGAUCCACGUUCGUCUGUUCCUUCCUCAACCCUUCAUCUCAUCAGGAAGGCAGGAACCCCGAGGUCAUGCCCAGAUAUAGCCCUAUGGUGUCCCACUUUCUUAGAAUGAGAAUUAAGACAGUAAUAGCAGCAAGAGGACAAACUGGAACAGGCUCUGAGCACUCACGCACACACAAGAAAAGGAGCGAAAAUAGCUGUAGUUCAUGAAUGUGAAACACUCGAAUGCCCAAUAUCAAAAUGGAAGCCAACAGUUUAUGAGUCUCAGCUUUACCCUAAAUAUUUUUAUACCACAAAAAGACACCUUCAAAUUAACUGAGAUGCCAUUUAUCCAGAAGGUAAAAUUAAAAUCUAAAUUUCUUUGGAUUAAUAAUAAUAUAUUACAUUAUUGAGUAUUUACUAUGUGCCAAGUAUUGUUCAAGGCGCUAUGUACAGUCUAACUCAUUCUAUCCUUAUGACACACUGUGCUAGACAAGAACUUUCCUUACCUCCAUUUUACAGAUAAGAAACUGAGGAAUUGAGAGGACAAGAAAAUUGUUUCAAGUUUCACUGCUCAGAAGUGGUAGCGUCUUGGUUUAAAACAGGGCAGGCUGGCUUCCCAGCCAUGGUGUCAAUCCUGGUAUUAACGGCUACUGCUUGGUGAGUUCCACAGUGCAAGACUCAGGGGCAUGUGCUUCACCUUGACCAUGUACUUCAACCGUCACAACAGCUUCAAGAUCGCGUUCUCAAUUAACACAGGAAGGUACAGAAGCUCAGAGGUUAAGAAACUUGCCAAGUCUGCGUUUAUAAUCUGAUUCCCAAAUCACUCUUCCUUAACCUUUGAGUGACCAUAUAAUAUUGUCUCAAGUCCAGGGUACUUUUAAGAGUGAAAAGAGACAUUCUUAACAAUUGAUGGCAUGGCCAGCACAAACCAGGACUCUCUUGGGCACUCUGCGAUGCAUGAUUGCCCUCCACCCUUCUGAACUUGAGCAGCUGAUGACAUUCUGAUAUUGCACCUGAAGUGAAUUUGCUCACCCGUUGUGCAGCAAGCCAAUCUCUGACACUGGGUAUAGUGGAAGAAAGUAGGAAUUUUAUUAUUGCACAGAGCUGAAUAAGGAGAUAGGACAGCUAAUACUGAAAUCCCAAACUCCCUGAAAAGCUAAAAGGAAGGGUUUUUAUUUGGAGUUUUAGGUAGAGGAGGGGGAGCACAUGGCCUUGCUGGUUGGAGCUUUCCCACCAGCCUGUCUUUGGCCUUGAGACACUUGCAGAGAGGAGGGAGCCUGUGACCUUGCUGCUCAGCAGCUUUCCCACCAGCCUGUGUCUCCUUGUUGGGGAGGAGAUCACGAAUCCAGGUGCUUAUCCUUGGCUGUGUCUGUCUCCAUGGAGGAUAGUGGAUUGUGGAGCCAGGAAGCCAGGGAGCAGGCAGGGAAUGAGUGCUUUGGUUUUAACCCCAUAUAUGCAGGGUUUAAUGUAGAGAAACUGAUAUCAGGGCCAGUAUCAAUUUGACCCCAAAUCUUUGAAGAGUUCCUCAAAAUGACCAAAGAAAGAAGUGUUUCCCCAGAGUUUUGUGAACUGGAAUCACCCAUCUCCUUCCCUCUCCCUCCAUGUUUAUUUCCUCUUUGGAAACCCUGUUUGGUCAACUUCCUCUCCUCUACUUCAAGUCUUUUGAAAAAAAAAGACCACCAUUAGAUCUUAUAAAUGUAUUUUCUUCACAUGUGAAAUGAUGGAUUAUUGACUCCUUGGAGAAAAUAACAUCCUUUCAGCUAACAAAACAGAGCUGAACAAAACAGGAGGAGAGCACAGAGAGGGCCACUAAUUUAAAGAGAAAUUUAUAGGUCUCCUGAUGUCAUGAGUAAGAAAGACUUUGCUGUCUGCAGGGAAAAGGAAACAGUGCUGGAGACUAGGUAUGCACAGAGUCUCCUCUGGCAUUAAAACCAGGCAGACGCCCAGUCUCAGCCCAGACCUAUUACAUCCAAGCUUUAGAGGCUGGACUCUUCAGUGUUUGCAUCUUUGAGAACCUCACCAAUGAUUCUGAUUCACGGUCAGGGGGAACAAAUCAAUAUGAAAUCCCCUGACGACAACAGACCUUUCCAGUAGAACCGUGGAGUAUGCACAUCAGUCUUCAUCCUGUACCAUCAAGUCACCAAGCAGCCGACCCUGGGUUUCUCAACAUAUUGUAGGCAGAACUUGUUUUGGUUGCUUUUCUAACCUUUUCUGAGAUUCUAAUCAAACCUCAUCUUUCCGACCUGGUUACAUUUGUUGCCAUCUUUUUCACGGUUCCUUUCUCUUAUUUUCCUCCACUUCCUCAUUCUCUGCAUCUUCAAAUACAUACAAGCAUACAUAAAUACAUAGAUGUAUACAUCAAUUCAGGUAAAUGUAUGUAUUUGUAUGUAUGUAUUUACCUGAAUUAUUUUGAGAUUUAAAAAUAAAUAUCUCUUUUUCUUUUUCAUAAAAAAAUCAUUCUGUGUUGAUUUUACUUAUUUUCAGGAUUAGGAAAGACCUCUUGAAAUCAACUUUGAUCUUUACUUAAAUUGUAGAUGAGAAAUCCAGGAAAAACAAUUUUGAAGAAAUCCCAUGCAUUAAUAUGCUUUUAAUCACAGAGCUAUUGUGUUUUGUUUCCCACUGAUUUUUUAAAAAUAUUUUUUCUCUUUUUGGUGAGGAAGAUUGGCCCUGAGGUAACAUCUGUGCCAAUUGUCCUCUAUUCUGUAUGUGGUAUGCCACCACAGCAUGACUUGAUGAUCGGUGUGUAGGUCCACACCCAGGAUCUGAACAUAUGAACCCUGGGCUGCGGAAGCGGAGCACAUGAACUUAACCACUAUGCCGCUGGGCUGGCCCAUUUCCCAUAUAUGUUUUUCCGAACAAGCCAUUAUGGAAAUUUAAAAAUAUACUGCAGAGUUGGAAGAAUUUUGAACUAAACACCCAUGGACCCCCCACCUUGCGCUACCACACAUCUAUCCAUCUGUGAUGCCUCCCGUGGAUCGACUAAUCCAUCUUAUUUUUCAGGUAUUUCACAGUGUAUUUGUACAUUGAUUCAAAUAAAUUAUAUUGCUGUUACUAAUGUUGAUGGUGACAAAAUACUUCAACUGCAUAUUGUCGUUCAGUCAACCAGUCUUCGUUCAAAAUCACUCCAUGGGAAGAGAGAGCACAGGUCAGACUCCAUUUUGGGGGAAAUAAAAGUGUUAUCUUUUGCUGGUAAGGAGAUUUAAGGGUUGGUAUUACAUUUCUAUGUAAUGUAAUGUGUAUUUUUAUUCUAACAUUUAAUUGCUGUUAUAACAUAAUUCAAAGCCUUUGACAAAAAAAUGUUUAAUCAAUGAUUGCUACUUGCCCAGUGUCGUUUACGAUAACAUGCCAAUGGAAGCAGGUCUGUGGGGAUUAACGUGCACCUGAUUUUUGUCCUUAGACCCUUCAAUGUUGAAAAUACAAGGAACAGUUUUCAUAAAACAGGGCUUUUUGUGUGGUUGUUAUUUGAGGACGCUAUAGAAUGGUUCUCUCCUCCACUGAAUAUCCACCACACCUGCCUGAAGUCCCAUCAUGGUUCAUGGCCUUUUGGGAGAUCCUGUAAAAAUGCCAAGAGUCUUCACUGUCAGCCUCUGUUUUCCUUAUUCCUCUGGACUAUCUGACCAAUUAGGGAGACCAAUAGAUACACCCCACCAAUAGGCGGAAGUCAGAAUUAGUCUUGCUGCCGUAGGCUUGGGGUUUUGGUGUCUUGGACACAUUCGGGUUCACCUGGGUGCCCCCUAACUCAGCCUCUUGCCAGCCCCCGUGGACUUAGUGUCCACGGGGGCUGGACUCUCCGACCGAUUUUCUGCUUAGUGCUCCAGUUCCCUGAAUCCCAAGUUACCUCGAUGAUGUGGGGGAGGGGUGUACUGACUCCUACCUAUCCCUUGCCUCUUCCUCUGUGUCAGCUGGCCAAACCGUGGGUCUCAUACUCCCAGUUCACACUGGGGAUGCGACUUCUUGUAGUUGUGUCACUGGAAACCAGGGUCCACAUACUGGUAUGAACCUGAGGACAGCUUGUGUUUGGACUGCCUUCCAUCCUGCACCCACUGGAUUCCAGUCCCACGAGUGUAAGUAGGGAUGCUGGUUUGAGUGGAGCAUGAGCUUGGGACAGUGGAGCUCUGCCCCUUUGGGGUCCAUUCCUUAGACCACAACCUGAACGGCCUUCCUUCCUCCCUUCCCCGCCAAUCCAUGUGAGCCUCCAGACGAGUCAAUCUGGUUGGCACACCCAGAGUAUUUAAGAACACGGAUGCUACAGUCAACAGUCCUGGGUUCAGAUUUCAGCCACUUAUCAACUGUGACAUUAUGCCCAUCCCUUAACCUCCUUAAAUUUCAGUUUUUUCAUCUGGAAAGGAGCUUGCCAUAGCACCUUCCUCAUCGCAUGUUUAUGCCUUGUUACUAAGACAAAUGCCUGAGAAGUCCCUAAUAUGUUAUGGUAACUAGUAAGUUCAAGAAAUGGAAGCUUCAAACAAAAGUUAAAAUUGCCAGUAUUAUUCCAGACGCUCGAAGCCACUUCUAAAAUAAAAUGAGUUCUAAAUAAAUAAAUAACUUAAAGUGUAUUUUUAUUCAUUAAUAUGUUUUGACCCUUUGCUACCCAAACCUUAUUCAGACACCUGACAAAGUCCUGUGAGAAUGGCACCUGGGAGGAUUAUGGACUAUGAAAAUGGAAUAAGUUCCUUUUAUUUCUUCCUUGUUCUCUUCCCUCUACAAUUCACUAACCAUUUGCUCAAACUUUUAGUCAUUUAUUUGUUCAGCCAAAAAUAUUUUGUACGGGGCGCUGUCCCAGGUGGGCAUGGAGGCUGACAGGUAUGCUAAGGAGCUGGAUUUUCUACAGGUGACUGGGAGUCAUUAAAGAACUUGAUCAUG